UACGUAGGGUGCAAGCGUUAAUCGGAAUUACUGGGCGUAAAGCGUGCGCAGGCGGUUAUGUAAGACAGGUGUGAAAUCCCAGGGCUUAACCUUGGAACUGCAUUUAUGACUGCAUAGCUAGAGUACGGUAGAGGGGGAUGGAAUUCCGCGUGUAGCAGUGAAAUGCGUAGAUAUGCGGAGGAACACCGAUGGCGAAGGCAAUCCCCUGGACCUGUACUGACGCUCAUGCACGAAAGCGUGGGGAGCAAACAGG
This 253-nucleotide ribosomal RNA is filed under the name uncultured bacterium. Its description in RNAcentral is "partial 16S ribosomal RNA". It matches the Rfam family "Bacterial small subunit ribosomal RNA", at positions 524 to 776 of the family's 1533-position model. The record is from RNAcentral.